AUUGAACGCUGGCGGCAUGCCUUACACAUGCAAGUCGAACGGCAGCACGGGUGCUUGCACCUGGUGGCGAGUGGCGAACGGGUGAGUAAUACAUCGGAACAUGUCCUGUAUUGGGGGAUAGCCCGGCGAAAGCCGGAUUAAUACCGCAUACGAUCUACGGAUGAAAGCGGGGGACCUUCGGGCCUCGCGCUAUAGGGUUGGCCGAUAGCUGAUUAGCUAGUUGGUGGGGUAAAGGCCUACCAAGGCGACGAUCAGUAGCUGGUCUGAGAGGACGACCAGCCACACUGGGACUGAGACACGGCCCAGACUCCUACGGGAGGCAGCAGUGGGGAAUUUUGGACAAUGGGCGAAAGCCUGAUCCAGCAAUGCCGCGUGUGUGAAGAAGGCCUUCGGGUUGUAAAGCACUUUUGUCCGGAAAGAAAUCCUUGGCUCUAAUACAGUCGGGGGAUGACGGUACCGGAAGAAUAAGCACCGGCUAACUACGUG
Molecule: ribosomal RNA, 486 nt
Filed under: uncultured bacterium
Lineage: Bacteria
Description: partial 16S ribosomal RNA
Rfam family: Bacterial small subunit ribosomal RNA
Source: RNAcentral